AGAGUUUGAUCCUGGCUCAGAUUGAACGACUGGCGGCAGGCCUAACACAUGCAAGUCGAGCGGAUGAAGGGAGCUUGCUCCUGGAUUCAGCGGCGGACGGGUGAGUAAUGCCUAGGAAUCUGCCUGGUAGUGGGGGAUAACGUCCGGAAACGGGCGCUAAUACCGCAUACGUCCUGAGGGAGAAAGUGGGGGAUCUUCGGACCUCACGCUAUCAGAUGAGCCUAGGUCGGAUUAGCUAGUUGGUGGGGUAAAGGCCUACCAAGGCGACGAUCCGUAACUGGUCUGAGAGGAUGAUCAGUCACACUGGAACUGAGACACGGUCCAGACUCCUACGGGAGGCAGCAGUGGGGAAUAUUGGACAAUGGGCGAAAGCCUGAUCCAGCCAUGCCGCGUGUGUGAAGAAGGUCUUCGGAUUGUAAAGCACUUUAAGUUGGGAGGAAGGGCAGUAAGUUAAUACCUUGCUGUUUUGACGUUACCAACAGAAUAAGCACCUGGCUAACUUCGUGCCAGCAGCCGCGGU
RNAcentral lists this ribosomal RNA (520 nucleotides) under Pseudomonas aeruginosa. RNAcentral describes it as "bacterial SSU rRNA". It matches the Rfam family "Bacterial small subunit ribosomal RNA", at positions 8 to 521 of the family's 1533-position model. The record is from RNAcentral. Lineage: Bacteria; Pseudomonadati; Pseudomonadota; Gammaproteobacteria; Pseudomonadales; Pseudomonadaceae.